UACGGAGGAUGCAAGCGUUAUCCGGAUUUAUUGGGUUUAAAGGGUACGUAGGUGGCCUUGUAAGUCAGUGGUGAAAUCCUGCCGCUUAACGGUAGAACUGCCAUUGAUACUGCAGGGCUUGAGUACAGUUGAGGUAGGCGGAAUGUGUAGUGUAGCGGUGAAAUGCUUAGAUAUUACACAGAACCCCGAUUGCGAAGGCAGCUUACUAAACUGUAACUGACACUGAGGUACGAAAGCGUGGGGAGCGAACAGG
Molecule: ribosomal RNA, 253 nt
Filed under: uncultured bacterium
Lineage: Bacteria
Description: partial 16S ribosomal RNA
Rfam family: Bacterial small subunit ribosomal RNA
Source: RNAcentral